CUAUCCUCCACUUUCCCGGGAGCUGCUGAUCGUUGAGACUGAACAAGUGGGAUGCUUCUGUUUCAAUGAUGAACAGCGGCCCCAGUCACCACAUCCUUGCAGCGACCCCUUCGCAUUUGGCGCCUAUCCCCUCGCUCAGCAGUCACAUGACCAUCACCUACUCAUCUGGAUUGGCCCUCGCCACAAGUUCCUCCCUGACAAAGUGCAGAAAUGAAUCCAGGCCGUGUUCUACCUCGACCUCCUGACUGACGUCUGGUUCUCAUGUCGGAGUUUGACUGAACUGAAAAAUCCAGAAAUGAAUCCAGGCCGUGUUCUACCCCGACCUCCUGACUGACGUCUGGUCCUCAUGUUGGAGUUUGACUGAACUGAAAAAUCCAGAAAUGAAGCCAGGCCGUAUUCUCCCCCGACCUCCUGACUGACGUCUGGUCCUCAUGUCGGAGUUUGACUGAACUGAAAAAUCCAGGUUUUCAGGACCUUCUGGAUUCUCUACAGAAGAUGGUGACUCAGCGUUAUCAGUGCUCUCUGGACUCUGAGGUGCAGGAAACACAAGGAAGUGAAACACAGAAGUCUCCAGAGCUGCGGCUGGUCAUCCUGUGGACGACUCUCUUUAGGACACAGUUACAUGAUGUCACAUAUUAUAUAACAUGCUGUGAAUCUGUACUUUCACUGCUGAGAUCAAACCUGCAGUUUCAUUUGCUUUAAAUGAGCAAAUGCACAAGAGGCUCCAGAGAAACGCUGAGUGAAGAGCUAAUGUGACACAAAGAGUGUUGAGAUGUUACAAUUACUGAAAUCAAAUCUGUGCAGGAUUUAUUUGAAAUGAUUCAAGUGUCCAGACAAUCCACAAACUGUUCUACAAUAAAAACAAGGUUUUAUAACUGUU
This is a long non-coding RNA of Limanda limanda (common dab), 880 nucleotides long. RefSeq lists it as uncharacterized. The record is from RefSeq and is a predicted model, not a curated record. NCBI's taxonomy places the organism in Eukaryota, Metazoa, Chordata, Actinopteri, Pleuronectiformes, Pleuronectidae. The transcript is spliced from 9 exons.